RNAcentral lists this long non-coding RNA (242 nucleotides) under Elaeis guineensis (African oil palm). RNAcentral's name for it is "long non-coding RNA (EGUI_LNC041223)". Lineage: Eukaryota; Viridiplantae; Streptophyta; Magnoliopsida; Arecales; Arecaceae. The record is from RNAcentral.
GGCAAUAAAUGAACUACAGGCUCAACAUUUGUGGGUGGAGGGAGACUCUAACUAUCAUCAAAUGGAUCAAUAACACAUCUUCAGGCAAGGGCAUAAACAUUCCUGUUCUUAAUGAUAUAAAAUUAUGGCUUUCUAAUUCUGCAAGAGUUAUGGUAUCUCAUAUUUUCCAUGAAGCCAGCAGAGCCACAGACUAUAUUUCUAAAGCAUCUUGGCAGAGGAUGUUAACUAUUACCAUACAGAUA